AUGGAAGGCAGAAUCAUCAGAAAUUACAGUGACAGGGGUUCCUGCUCGGUAGUAUGCCGAAAAGACAGCCUGGGGGCAGCGAGCUGGGGCGUGGCAAGGAGACCAACUGGAAUGACGGGAGAGCCCUAGUGGAUGCACAGUGCACCGCUCUUACACCACAAGCCUCCCGCCCCAGCAUGAUUUAACCCGUGAAGAAAGCAGAGCAUUUAAUAUGUUCUACAGAUGUUUUAAAAAAGGAAUAACGGCGCUUGUCCCAAGUGUGGGAUGGAGGCACACACUCUUCUGAGAUGUGAAGCAAAUUUCAUAUCUCAAAAGAGAAAAAGGACAACAGUUCCUGCUCAGUCACCAAGUCUGAUUCUCAACCCUGGAACGCCUCAGCCUGCCUGAGCCCAGAAAUGAGGCUCCUUGUGAACACUAUGGAAAUGCAAUGGCUGUUUUGAUUUUCCAUAAUGGACAGCACACUGGUCCAGGAGGCAUAUCCAAUCUAAAUGAACUAGCAUCUGUGAAACUUCCUAGCACAGUCCCAGCACAUCGCAGGAGCUGAACUAAUGUUCUUUUCCCUUCCCAAGGAACCCUGAAGCCUUUGAAGGAACCGUGAUUGGGAAGGCAUCAGCAUUUGCUUUUCGCUGGUAUAAAUUUGGACCACUGGUCUGCCCGGGGUGUCCCCUGCCAGUGGUCGUGGACUGCUAGGGAAGCACAGCACACCCCCCAACACCCCCCCGCAAGGAAGACCCCUCAUUGCCCACCAAUGUCCUCUUUCUGGCGUCCCUCACGUUCCUGGCCGAGACCCUCCGUUCAGUCACGCCAUGAGGUCAGGGCCACGGUUGCCAUUGUCUGCUGGAAGCCAGUGCAGCACUUGGAGCUUAGAAGAUGCACACAACUCUUUGUUAAAGAACAAAGAAAUGGGAGAAACUUUUUAAAAGAAAAUAAACAGAGAGAAAGAGGGUGAGACGAAGACUGUGGCUGAGGCUUUGUUUUCAGGCCGAAAGCAGGACACUCAGCUCAUUCUCAAUGAAACUUCAACAUCGAUAAUUCAAAUGUCUUAGAAAUUGUACAUUGGAAGGGGAAAUAAAAUGAUUUUUCAGCUCUUUUAGGCUUACAGAUACCUAAAUGAAGCAUAGAUUGUAGAAUGUUGUUCAGAAGGGAAUUAAAUUUGGAUUUCAUCCUUCCCAGGGACUGGGGGCACUGCUUGUCACUUUGACUCAAAUGGAGAGUCCCUGCCACUGCUUGCUUGCCUUCAUCUGACCACACUGUGCUAAGCGCCCAGCCCCAGGGUAUAGCUGAGCCCUGCACCAGCUGCAGUGAACCGCUUGGCCGGGUGCCCUCUUAGAUCCUCCCUGCCCUGUUCCCUGGCUCUCUGUCCCCUGCGGUCCUCUUCUCUAGGACUGUUGAAACUUCUCCGCAUCUGGUCAGCUUCACACAAAAGGGCUCCUAUUUUACAGGCUGAGAGCCCCUUCCUGUGUGUUGUCAAAACUGACACAUCGCAUUGCUUAGGUUUAAUCUUCAGGUACUUUUUCUGUUUUUUUACCUAUAAAAUUAAUAUAAGCAUAUGCUCCCGUAAUCAACACAAUUUAGAUAAAGCAAGAGUUCCUCUGGGCCCUCCCACUUCCAUUUGCAUUUUCUUUUCUGUGGACUAACUGGUCAUCUUCUUUAUCCACUUGUCUAUGAGGUUGUUGAUCUUGGUCUUUUUUCUUAUUAACAGAUAGGAAUUCUUCAUAGAGCCUAGAUAACAAUCCAGAAUUCAUGUGUAUACGCACGCAUUUAUCUAUAUGUAUAUGUAUAAGCACAUUACACACAUACAUUUGCACACAUACAAAUGUUAGAAAUAUCUUCUCCAACUCUGUUGCUUGUCUUUUAUCUCAGCUUAUAGAGGUUUCCGAUUUUGAAUCAGAAGUUUCACAUUUCAUUGAAGGUAGACAUCACUCUUUCUCUAUUUGCUUUUGUGAUUUGUGUCUUGCUCAAGGCCUUCCCUGUCCUACCCCCAUGUCAAAAGCAUGUUCUCCACUAUUUUCUUUCAGUCCUUAAUCUUUCUUCCGUAGGUAGCCAAUGUCCAGCACGUUUGGUAAUGACACCUCCUCGGUGAAGCGCAAGGCCACCUUGACCCCAGCUCCCAUGGGUCUGUCUUCAGGGGAAUUUUGAGGUUGUUUUUGCUGCAGGGUGUCAGGAACUCCUUCCUCUCUGAUUCUUGGAAAAGUUUACUGUUUGCUGCUGGCUUUGUGGUCUCUCCUCCCUGUGCAGGUAGGGUGUGGAGGGUAAUCAGAGUCAGUCCAGAGGUUGCUCAAAGUUUCAGUUUAUCUCCAGCCACUAUUUGCUAACUCAUCUGAGAAUUCUGCCAAGAUAAACAUCAGACAGACCCUCCUAUGGUUCAAUCAGUCUGCUCCUGGGAAAAUUAGGACAUGUGUCUGCCCGGCUCUGCUGGUGUUCCUGAGAGUGACUGGUCUCUGUGUGACCUUUCAUUGGCCAGGCUCCCCCAAGGGAAACGUCCACCAGCAGAAAAAGUAGGAAAAAAAUCCCUUUAUGCAGAGAAAAUACACUGCAGAAACAAACAUAGUCUAACCCUGCCUUUUAAAACAUAGCUUUUAGACUGAAAGAGUUCACCCUUCCUCUCUCCACCUGGUCACUCUUGGGAUGACAAUUUCAAAUCCCACAUAACAUUCACAGUGUGUUAUUCCCAUGCAAUUACCUUGUUAGGUUUCAUACAUUUAGAACACGGAGGGGGACAGGGGAUGCUUCUCCGCAGUCUCUUCGUUAUUGGGACAUACUCCAACGCUCAGACAGCUCCACAAUGCACCUUUCUCCCACUCUUCAUUCCUUUUCUGGCAACACUCUUUCUCUCUCAGAGGAUUUUAAAAACAUGUCUUGUUACAAAAAGCAAAGAAUGACAGUUGCUUCAGAAAAAUACCCAACUGAAAGAUCCACUCCCUGACCAUGGAGAGCUCACUACAGAUCUAGAAACGCGAGGCAGAGACUUGAAGAUGCUGCACACAUCCUGUGUGGGAGUGGGAGAAAAGCUGCUGCUUCCUUAGCAUUAAAACAGACAGGGUCAUUUCAGCCUUGCAGGGGAUGACCAGCCCUCACUGGAAUUAUGUGAUGGCAUCACAUUUGCUCCUCAUGUAAACAUUCCAGCGGGAGAACGACUGCUCCCUGAAGACACUCAUGGUGUGAUAAACAGCAGUCAGUGGAAUCAAGGCAGGGGCGAGGUCCUCUUCCUUCUGCCUCCUUCUCACCAUGGCACCUUGAGAGAGGCCCUUUGUCCCUCGGGUUUUUCCAUUUUCUCAUUUGCAAAAUGAAGAGGAUCCCAUCUACACCGUCGUGUUUAGAAAUGACACAAGAUCACAAAAACCUCUGCCGCCUCGAAGAUACAGAAUUGCUGGUGAGGCUCGUUGUCUGAGAGCCGGGCUCUGCUCCCCUCGGGGCCAAGUCUACCAAUUGUUCUUUGGAAAACAAAAGCUGGAGGCAUUAAAACUGGGCUGUUCCAAGUGUUCUUUACGUUUUAUAAAUUUUAUAAGGUGAAACUCAAUAUUUAGAUGAUUGGUAGAAACGUCUCUUGGGGGCUUUAUGGUUUUCUAACAUAGAGUGGGGGGACAUGUUACCUCGGCAGGAGCAUGUGGGCUGAGAGGAGGGAACCACAUCAGGGAGGCCGGUGACUGGAGAGGGAAGUCCUCCUCCUGUGGAGGGCCUGGCCCUCAUGGAUUCCCCACUUCCAGGCAACUUUGUGACCUCAGAGAAGCUAACCUGAUGUGCAUGCUACUGACGUUGCCCAUGCCGCUCCUGCUGGCUGAUGGAACUAUCUGUCUGGAGUCUGUGGAUGGCAGACCUCCUGAUUGUGUGGAGCGUGAGUUUUUCGAAAGAGAUCUCUCACUUUCAUCCAGGCUGGAGUGUAGUGGCACACACCACCACACCAGGAUAAUUCUU
This 3915-nucleotide long non-coding RNA is filed under the name Homo sapiens (human). RNAcentral's name for it is "HSALNT0035310". Lineage: Eukaryota; Metazoa; Chordata; Mammalia; Primates; Hominidae. The record is from RNAcentral.